This 214-nucleotide unclassified non-coding RNA is filed under the name Glomus sp. RNAcentral describes it as "partial contains 5.8S ribosomal RNA and internal transcribed spacer 2". The stretch from base 1 to 65 matches the Rfam family "5.8S ribosomal RNA", at positions 84 to 154 of the family's 154-position model. Lineage: Eukaryota; Fungi; Glomeromycota; Glomeromycetes; Glomerales; Glomeraceae. The record is from RNAcentral.
GUGAAUCAUCAAAUCUUUGAACGCAAAUUGCACUCUCCUCGGAGAGUAUGCCUGUUUGAGGGUCAGCCUAUAAAAAUCGACAUCGUUGCUGUUUCGCGGUGGCGUUCGUCGGAAAUUGGGUCAUCUUAAAUCCUUUUGAUUUAAGCGACUUAAAAUUUUCUUUUGGUUCCUGAACGGUUUCAAGAUUUAAUUUCUUUAAAGGUUAAGGGAUUGG